AAAAAAAAAAAAAAAAACUGAAAUUUAAAAUAAUUAAGUGAUUCCGGCUUUUAGCAUUUGAUUUUUGUAAAAGAGAAGGGAUAUUUGUAGAGGGCUUGCAUAGGAAUAUAGAUGAAAGGACUUAUAUACCACUAUUUCGAUUUUGAUAUCUGUACUCUGUAAGCAGAAGGCAUGCAUGCUCUUUGAUGAGUGGAAUUUUUGGUAUUUCAAUGCAUACUGGGCUUAGGCAGGUCUUGGCCAACACUAGCAAAAAUAAAUUACCUUUUUUGAUGGCCAAAUUCUAAGGUUAUGGGUAGGGUGGGAAGUAAUUAAUCCUAUUUGGAAUUUGGAUAUGCAGUAUGGUCUUUCUGCCCUGUCAACGAUUUUUUGAAGUUACACUUCCUUUUCUAGGAAUUUCCAAGUGUUUCUUUAAUGAUUGAUCCAUAUGAAUAUGCAUUUUACACAAAUAAUUUUGAGAAGGAAUGGGACUGAUUCUCAGGAUUGACCUGCAAUUUGUUGGACUAGUCAGGUUCUGGCCUUCUGGGAGUGCCAAAGCCAAGCUGUAAAAUACUUUUAGGAAUGUAUAAUAGAGGUCUUGAAAGUUGUAAUUAAUAACGUGAUUUUCCCAGCAUGCGGGAACAUCUAUAGAUCUGCCUGGUGUGUAGGGAAUGGAAAGAAUGGACUUUAAAAAGAGGGAGAGACAAUAAAAAGUUAAGGGGGAAAGAGGGGUCAAAUUAAAUAAUGGUUUUGAAUCUCAUUGUUUAGCAAAUCUUGAUAUGUAUCAGAUAAAAUUAUUCCUUUCUCACCAAUUAUAAACAAUCUGCAAUUAAGGAAAGAAAGAGGUUAGAAUUAGAUUGAUGAUAUGCAACGUAUUUCUCUUAUCACACUGAAAUAGACCAAGUUACUUUGAUGAUGAGUAUUUUUUUUUUUUAUAUUUUUUUAGAAUUAUUACUAUUUAGUAGGAAUUUUAGAAUAUGAUUUAAGAGUUUUAAAA
RNAcentral lists this unclassified non-coding RNA (973 nucleotides) under Hevea brasiliensis (rubber tree). Lineage: Eukaryota; Viridiplantae; Streptophyta; Magnoliopsida; Malpighiales; Euphorbiaceae. The record is from RNAcentral.